Molecule: ribosomal RNA, 253 nt
Filed under: uncultured bacterium
Lineage: Bacteria
Description: partial 16S ribosomal RNA
Rfam family: Bacterial small subunit ribosomal RNA
Source: RNAcentral
UACGAAGGGGGCUAGCGUUGUUCGGAUUCAUUGGGCGUAAAGGGUGCGUAGGCGGCGCGGUAAGUCGGGUGUGAAAUCUCCGAGCUUAACUCCGAAACUGCAUUCGAUACUGCCGUGCUUGAGGGCUGGAGAGGAGACUGGAAUUUACGGUGUAGCAGUGAAAUGCGUAGAGAUCGUAAGGAAGGCCAGUGGCGAAGGCGAGUUCCUGGACAGUUACUGACGCUGAGGCACGAAGGCCAGGGGAGCAAACGGG